Molecule: ribosomal RNA, 263 nt
Filed under: uncultured bacterium
Lineage: Bacteria
Description: partial 16S ribosomal RNA
Rfam family: Bacterial small subunit ribosomal RNA
Source: RNAcentral
UACGGAGGAUGCGAGCGUUAUCCGGAUUUAUUGGGUUUAAAGGGUGCGUAGGCGGCCUGUUAAGUCAGCGGUGAAAUCUAGGAGCUUAACUCCUAAAUUGCCAUUGAUACUGGCGGGCUUGAGUGUAGAUGAGGUAGGCGGAAUGCGUGGUGUAGCGGUGGAAUGCAUAGAUAUCACGCAGAACUCCGAUUGCGAAGGCAGCUUACUAAGGUACAACUGACGCUGAAGCACGAAAGCGUGGGUAUCAAACAGGAUUAGAUACC